UACGUAGGGUGCAAGCGUUGUCCGGAAUUAUUGGGCGUAAAGAGCUCGUAGGCGGUUUGUCGCGUCUGCUGUGAAAACUCGGGGCUUAACUCCGGGCCUGCAGUGGGUACGGGCAGACUAGAGUGCGGUAGGGGAGACUGGAAUUCCUGGUGUAGCGGUGAAAUGCGCAGAUAUCAGGAGGAACACCGGUGGCGAAAGCGACUUCCUGGACCAAUACUGACGCUCAUGUGCGAAAGCGUGGGGAGCAAACAGG
Molecule: ribosomal RNA, 253 nt
Filed under: uncultured bacterium
Lineage: Bacteria
Description: partial 16S ribosomal RNA
Rfam family: Bacterial small subunit ribosomal RNA
Source: RNAcentral